Molecule: long non-coding RNA, 607 nt
Filed under: Homo sapiens (human)
Lineage: Eukaryota; Metazoa; Chordata; Mammalia; Primates; Hominidae
Description: TTN antisense RNA 1
Source: RNAcentral
AGCUUGCUCAUGGGUUUUGUGGAGGGCGUAGAUUGGAACCAAAAAGCACGCCUCGGCUUGGUGCUCCCUGUCGCCCUCUGUUGACAUGGGGAGAGAAGAGCGGGUCUGACUCGGAAAUGACGCCAUAAUGCUGAGGAACCACUCCUGGCGUUGCGGAAGGUGGGGUGUGGGGCCGGAAGACCCUCCCCCCGCGUCUUCAGAGGAGCGCUGUUUCUGGAGGAGUUAGGGGAAGGAGGCUGCCUGACUAUAUCAGCCACGGAUAGGAUAUGUGAGAAUACCAGCAUGUCAAGGCUGGGAAUCAUCCUUAGGCAUCACCUAGCCAGUCCUGCCUCUCAUUUUAAGAUGCAGAGUGUUCAUAUGAGGAGAGACUUUCCCUUGUCUCCGUCAUCUGUGAUUUCACUUCCCUGACAGAAGACGAAGCUUCCAUCUCAGAUGUUUUCUUAAAUGAUGAAACAGCAUACGCCUCUGUUCUUGUCAGCUCAGGGAAAACAGAUCUGGGGACCUCUUCAUCUCUGCGUUGGGAAGCAUAGGUGGUAUAAUCCCCUCCUGUCACGUCCAACGUUGCAUAGUCAGAAGCUUCGCCCUUGUAGUUGGUGCACACAGCACG